Molecule: unclassified non-coding RNA, 210 nt
Filed under: Hevea brasiliensis (rubber tree)
Lineage: Eukaryota; Viridiplantae; Streptophyta; Magnoliopsida; Malpighiales; Euphorbiaceae
Source: RNAcentral
AGUUGGGAGAUUGAUUUAUCUCUCACAUAUUAGACCUGAAAUAGCUUAUGCGGUAAGUCUAGUAAGCCAGCAUAUGCACCUCACUUAAAAGUUGUUUUCCUUAUUUUGAGAUAUCUGAAAUCUGCCCCUGGAAAAGGACUCCUUUUUUCAAGGUAUGACCAUCUCCAGAUAAAAGUCUUUAUAGAUGCAAAUUGGGCUGGAUCUCUUAAU